This 482-nucleotide ribosomal RNA is filed under the name uncultured bacterium. RNAcentral describes it as "bacterial SSU rRNA". It matches the Rfam family "Bacterial small subunit ribosomal RNA", at positions 30 to 507 of the family's 1533-position model. The record is from RNAcentral.
AUUGAACGCUGGCGGAAUGCUUUACACAUGUAAGUCGAACGGCAGCACGGGGCAACCUGGUGGCGAGUGGCGAACGGGUGAGUAAUACAUCGGAACGUGCCCAAUCGUGGGGGAUAACGUAGCGAAAGUUACGCUAAUACCGCAUACGAUCUACGGAUGAAAGCGGGGGAUCGCAAGACCUCGCGCGAAUGGAGCGGCCGAUGUCAGAUUAGGUAGUUGGUGGGGUAAAGGCUCACCAAGCCGACGAUCUGUAGCUGGUCUGAGAGGACGACCAGCCACACUGGGACUGAGACACGGCCCAGACUCCUACGGGAGGCAGCAGUGGGGAAUUUUGGACAAUGGGCGCAAGCCUGAUCCAGCCAUUCCGCGUGCAGGAUGAAGGCCUUCGGGUUGUAAACUGCUUUUGUACGGAACGAAAAGGCUCUGGUUAAUACCUGGAGUUUAUGACGGUACCGUAAGAAUAAGCACCGGCUAACUACGUG